UAUAAUCACAACCUGAUAAAA
This 21-nucleotide non-coding RNA is filed under the name Plasmodium falciparum 3D7. The record is from RNAcentral. Lineage: Eukaryota; Apicomplexa; Aconoidasida; Haemosporida; Plasmodiidae.